RNAcentral lists this transfer RNA (72 nucleotides) under Alphaproteobacteria bacterium. RNAcentral describes it as "tRNA-Ser". It matches the Rfam family "tRNA". From Rfam's summary of the family: Transfer RNA (tRNA) molecules are approximately 80 nucleotides in length. Their secondary structure includes four short double-helical elements and three loops (D, anti-codon, and T loops). The record is from RNAcentral. Lineage: Bacteria; Pseudomonadati; Pseudomonadota; Alphaproteobacteria.
UUUCCCAUAGUUCAUUGGUAGAACAUCUGGAGACUAUCCGGAAGGCAACAGGUUCAAUUCCUGUUGGGAGAU